This 253-nucleotide ribosomal RNA is filed under the name uncultured bacterium. Its description in RNAcentral is "partial 16S ribosomal RNA". It matches the Rfam family "Bacterial small subunit ribosomal RNA", at positions 524 to 776 of the family's 1533-position model. The record is from RNAcentral.
UACGGGGGGGGCAAGCGUUGUUCGGAAUUACUGGGCGUAAAGGGUUUGUAGGUGGCUUGCUAAGUCACACGUGAAAUCCCUCAGCUUAACUGGGGAACUGCGUGUGAAACUGGCGAGCUUGAGGACAGGAGAGGAACGCGGAAUUCCAGGUGUAGCGGUGAAAUGCGCAGAUAUCAGGAGGAACACCGGUGGCGAAGGCGGGUCUCUGGGCCGUAACUGACGCUGAGGAGCGAAAGCGUGGGGAGCAAACAGG